GUGAUCAAGGUACAGGCUAGUCAUAGAGUGUGGUUUCUUUACAGCAGUAGAGGGUUUAAGAAUUUUUACAUUUCUAGCAGUCAUGGAUGGAGAGGAAGAGGUACUUACUUUAAAGGGUUUGCCUUUCCUUGAAGUAGAUGUUAUAGCCUUCCUUAUAGGGAUUGCAUGGCCAGGUACCAUCGAUAGAGGAACAACAUUAGUAAUGACAUCUGUAGCGGUAAAUUCAUGACCAUUAAGCUAGGGAUAAGCUUAACGUCAAUAAGACCAGAGUCACCACCGCACUUUUAUUGUUUCCAAACGAAAAGGGAAAAGUACAAACAAAACCCAAAGAUAAGAAGUUUUCAAAUCAAAACUAAUAAAAUGCCAGAGAUUACAGGUAAGGGGGUUGGUUGGUUACAUAGAGGGAAGGUGUUAGCAUCCAAAGUGUCCUAGGUACUCAUAGGGAGUCUUUUUUUAUGUGUGUAUGUGUUUUUUGUAUAAAAAGAUGUUUGUGACAAAUAAAGUGUGAUGAGAAAAGAAUUCAUUAAUAAUAUUUUUGUGUUUGACAAGACCUUCGGACUUGUGCCUACGUACCAACAUAAAAAUGAAGGAUCAAAACCUAGUAGUUUGUGGUAUCAAUUUCAAAAUAGGUGGAUUGCUUUUAAUUAAAAGUUAAGUUUAAAAGAGGCACAAAAGGCCCAAAAGUUUGAAUGAGUGUUAGUUCUUUUUGUCUUUUGAAUUUUUAAGUCAAUAUGAUUAGAUUUAUGUACAAAUUUGAUUUAAGAAAGGGAGUUAAAAAAAGCAAUGGCAUAAGGCCAACGUUUCUAAUUUGAAAUAAGUUGUAAGUUUUGAAAUCACAAGCAAAGAAAGUUUUUGAAAAGGGGGAGAUAUUUUUAAAUUUAAUAAGUGGGAAGAGAUGAAGAGACUAAUCCUAAGUAUAAAAUUAAAAGUUGAGAGUUGAAAAGAUCUGACCAAUGGGAUGCAAUCCAAGAAACAAGAAUGUCAUAUAGAAAACCCGCUUUCCCUUUGGACUUUUAAAUCAAGCAAUAAUCAGCAAACACUUAGCAAUAUGAAGAGCAAGGCAUCAAAUAAAGAUGGCCACAUCCAAGUAAACAAAUCCAUAGCUAACAGUCUUCUCUGUCUUCUCAUGUAUCAGAUGAAAUACUUCUUUAUUUUUGCUCAGAAUGAGGUGUAGCAUGAGACCAAAAUAAUUGUUGCAUCAAGACCAUAUAGCAGAUGAAUUCAAGUGGAUCCUAAUACUUGCAUCAGAUGAAAGCUCAAAUCACAAUAACUUGGUCUCAGAAAUGUUGGCAUUGGCCAAGUUCUUUUGCAUAUGGAAUGUUACCUAAUUCUAAGUCCAAAAGCUCAUAUCAAACCUAACAUUCCACACAAAGACUUUUUAGGGUUUUUUAUUUAUUAAGUAUUUUAAGGUCCUGAGGCCACAAACACAAACAAAAUACACAAACAAAUAUAUACAAUCGCAAUAUAUGGCUCAAAUGAGCAAAGUGAAAAUGGCAUAAACAUAAACAAAUUAAAUGUUAUGUAAAUGAAAAAUGAAUGGUAAAUGACUUGAAAUUAAAUUGUAUAAAGUAAAUGACUUGAAAAUAAAAGCAAUAUGAAUACAAGUUAGUGAAAUGUUAGUUGUAAAUGAAAAAUGAAUGGUAAAUGACUUGAAAUUAAAUUGUAUAAAGUAAAUGACUUGAAAAUAAAAGCAAUAUGAAUACAAGUUAGUGAAAUGUUAGUUGAUUAGAUGUUAGUGGUGUUUUGCUUUUCAAUUGAUUAAGUCAUUCUUUAGGGAACACUCAACCCUCUAUUCACAAGCAUGGAUCCUUGAACCAAGACAUCUUCCAUAGGAAGAAAAAAGGCCAAGUUUCCAUACAAUACCAUGAAAGGGGGGAGACUUACAAUCCCACUUACUAGAAUGAUAUGCCUUUAGGGUCAAAAUUUAGCUCUAUGUUAAGCAAUCGUAAUUUGACUUAUGUAGAAGCCACAACUAUCUGAGGUCGAGCAAUAAAAAUUUAGGUGCUAAUACAUGUUAGAGAUUUGUUAUAAUGGACCAAACUCCUAAAACAUACCACACACUAAAAGAAAAUAUCAAAAGGAUGGACCUAUCUCAUCCAUACUUGUAUUGGUUCAUCUAAAACCAGGUUAUUAAUGAACCAAUUAGCCUUAGGAUGUUAAGAUUUCAUUGGUCAAUAAAAUGGAUGGGGAAGAAAGGGAUUGAAGAGGAAAAAGGGAGGGGGGGGGUUUAAUGAACCAAUUAGCCUUAGGAUGUUAAGAUUUCAUUGGUCAAUAAAAUGGAUGGGGAAGAAAGGGAUUGAAGAGGAAAAAGGGAGGGGGGGGGGGAGAUGAGAGAAACACAAAUUGGUCAUGGGAGGAAUUUUAUCAAAUUAAAAUCAUUCAUUCAUUUUGGGAGAUGAAAUGUACAUUUCAUCAAUCCCCUAAAUCCAAUGGUUUUCACUUAAAAAAGUCAAAUCAAACUUGACCAAGGCCCAAACACAUAGUCAAACAUCACAAGUCAAUAAAAAUGGCUCAACAUAAUUUCUAUACAAUUAAUCAAUUAAAAAUCAAAUUAAAAAUUCAUUUAAAUUAAGUUUAAUUUGGGCAAAACCUAAAACCUCUUCAAAACACCAAAUAAAUGCCCAAGAGAUUUAUCCUAGGUCAAUGAAGGUCAAAAGACCUUAGACAAAAAAUUUCAUGAUUUUUGAAAAGUCAGAAGUAUUUUUAAACAAUUAAAAAUAUGCACAAAAACAAUUAAUUCAUAAAAAAUAUCAAAUAUAAUCCAAAAAAUAAUUUUAAUUCAGAAAAUGGAAGAGGAAAAUAUUUAAAUAUUUUUUGUGAAAGUCUCAUGUUUUUUUGGGUUAAAAAUGAAAUUAAUAUAAAUUAAUCAAAAUAAGUGGAUUAAAUGAAAAAUCAGAAAAUACAAAAAAAAACAAGGGCCAUCAGAUCUCCCUUAUUAAUGAGGUCGCAGAUCUGAUGGCCACACGCGCACGUUCCAUCAUACGCCUUGGUCAAGGCGUUGUACGCGUGGUGAUCACAAUGAACGCUUGAGAUUAAAACAUUUGAAUCAGAUCAGAUGACUUGGACUUUGCCAACGCACCACCGGAGCCCUAACUCCAGUCAUCUUCUUCGGUAAUCACCAACAGUAUGGUUCAGGCUUAACUUCAUGAAAAAUGAAAAGUGAAUACAAUAAUUUGAAGGAAAAAUGCUCAGGAGCACGAAUCUGGCCUCAAUUUUCUCCAAUUCCAAGUAUAUAAAAAGAUACAAGGAUUUGAAUUUUGAGGAUCAUGAACUGAGUUGCUUCGAUUUAACCUCAAAGCAACUCAAUCUUGUUGCCUACAUUGGUAGGACUUUAGCCAACCAAAAAUCACAAAGAAUGGUGAAGAAUUGAGAGAGAAUCGAAGAGAUGAAGUUUCUGAAAAAUUACCUUCGAGUUGCUUCAAAUUCACUUGAUCUUGAUCUGGAUUUGCUUGCUUUCUCCUCCUCUUGCUUUCAGAAAUCAAUUGAGAUGAAAAGGGAAGUGAAUUUCUGGAGUUUGAACUUCCAAACAGAAGAUGAAGUUCAAGCUCGAUUUAAAAGAAAUCUUUAAAAGUUCUAUGCAUUGGAGGGUAUGGAUAGGUCUGGCAAAGCUUGGGCAAGGUGUUGAUGAAGUUCUGAUCAUAUUGCUUCUCUAUUUAUGGCCAAUGCAUGUGCUGUUAACACACUUCCAUUCCAAAGUUCAAAAAUAGAAAGUGUCUUCAUGAGAUAGCAUGGGCGUGCACAAAUCCCAAACAAUCAUUUGCAAAGGUCUAAAGUCAUGCAUAGGUCAUGCUGAAAGUGUUGCAUUAAGCCAUGCGUUGUUGAAUUGAAUUGGAUCAUGAAAUUCUUCCAAAUGGUAACUCACAUUCCACCCAUGUGCAAUUCCUUCAUUCUUUGUCCAAAUGAGGUGAUCUUGGACUUUAUGGAAAGGUGAGAUCAAGGGGAACAACUUUCAUGUUGAAAACGUUUUAAUUUUAAGCUUGAUUCAUAAUUAAUUUUGAGGUGGAAGUUUGGAAAAUCAUACAUGUUUGAAAAUUUUCUAAGUACCACGUCAUAUGUUCACUUCUUCCACCUUGAAUAAAUUUUGUUAUGGACUUCAAAUGGAAAAACUUCCUUCAUAAACGUUGUAGCUCUUUCAAAUAUAUUCAAUUUGGUCACAAAGUGGACCCCAUUUGGAUUUGGCAUGAAGGAGUUAUUCAUUUUAGAAGUUGAGAAAAAUCAGUUGUUCAAUGGUAGUGGCCCAAAAUGACCUAUAAUCUUUCCUCUUCGCACAUGCAUUUGCAAGUUGAAUUUUAACUUCUUCCAAACAUAAAAUUUGAAAAGGAAAUCUUGAAUUUAAUCAUGAAACUUUAAUGUCUUUUAUCUCAUACAAAUUGAGAAAGUUAUGGUCUUUGGAAGUUGACCUCCUAACUAGGGUUCAUACAAAAUGACCUAUAAUCUUUCACCAUAAAAAAUGACUUUCCAAGAAAAACUAGAUUUUGACUUCAAAAUGAAUUUUUUUUGUAAUUUCAUUAUGAGUAAUGUUUAUCUUGGAAUAAUUUUCAUAUGACCUCCUAAUAUGAAUUAUCCCUUAAAUAUUUGAUUAAAUGUUGAAGAAACUUGUUGAGGAAGUCACAUAAGAUACCCAAAUGAAUUAGGGUUUCCAAGGCAAACAAUCUCCAAACUCUGGAUGAAUUCUUGAUCAAAAUGACAUGUGAAGGUCAUGGGGAUCCAUAUAUGAUGCUUAGAUCCAAUGUGAAAUGUUUCUUGAUUGAGCUAUUUGCAUUGAGGGUAUCAAACCCUAGAUAUGAGCUUGAUGGAUCCCACUUCAUAUUAUUUUUCUCAUUGAGGGUUUGUUGGAGCUUUAUCUGCAACUCUUCAUUCUCUUUUUCUAGCUUUGCCAUGGUGGUCUUGAGUUCCUCCAUUUCUUCAAUAGGGACAUGGGUGAGCUUAGGUUCAGGAAGAGGUAUAGGUGUUCGAAUGACAAAUGGCAUUUUAAUCUCUCUUUUUCUAGCUUUGCCAUGGUGGUCUUGAGUUCCUCCAUUUCUUCAAUAGGGACAUGGGUGAGCUUAGGUUCAGGAAGAGGUAUAGGUGUUCGAAUGACAAAUGGCAUUUUAAUCAUCUGCACCCUUUCCUUUAUCCACUGAAAAUAUGGUUCUUUUGUAAUCCCAUUUGCUCUCCCUAACUCAAUUUUCCCUUUUCGAUUGACAUUCUUCCAAGCUUUUUUGAUUCGCUGGAAUAAGCUAGGAUUCUCAACCCCAAAGUCAAGUAAUAAGAAAUCUUCCAAAGAAUUUGCCUCUGGAGGGCCUUCCGUUGGGUAGCCAAGUUGUCUGAGUGAUAUAUUGGAUUAGCAUUCACACAUCCUUGAGUUCCAAUAAGCGGUAGAUUUGGGAAAUCUCCACAAUUGAAUAUGAUAUCCAUGUUGAUUUAUUCUUUGGAGUACCAAGAGAGAUCUUCAGAUCGGAGCGAUCCCAAUCUUUGAGGCCAACUAACAUCUGUCUAUUCAACCUAAGCACCUGUCUUCGGAAGAUGUUCUAGAAACCACUGAUACAAUAAAGGAGCACAACAAGCAAUCAAUCCCUUCUUUUUAGUAUACCUAUGACUUAUGUAAUAAUAGACAUCAGCUAACAAAGUGGGUAAUGGGUUCCCAGUAAGGAAAACACAAAUGGCAGUCAUGUCUACGAAACCAUCCAUAUUCGGGAACAGGACGACGCCAUAGAUGGCCAAUUCAAUAGCAGAGUAACAAGCAUCCCAACUUUCUGCCUUCAAUAGGGUAUGAGCUAUUUCCAAAAGAAAACUUAGUGAAAAUCCUUUGGUAUUCCCUUUGGUCUCUAAGUUAGCUUCUACUUUCUUUUCAUCCAUGUGAAGCGCACUAGCAAUGACCUCAAGGGGCAAAGAUUCAUCUGUCCCUUCAAAAAGUGACUUGUUCUUCAUAGGAAUCCUAGCAAGACGCUCGAAUUCUUCCAACGUUGGUGCGAGCUGGAAGUCUUAGAAUGUGAAGCAUCUUAAAGGUAGGUCAUAAAAUUGGGCUAAAGUGAUUAAGGCUAUAUGGUCCACUUGUUGAUUGAGGAUGCUGAGCAAAUUGCCAUAACUCUUUCCAAAGUUGAUUCGUUAUACAGGGUGCAUCUGAGAGACCAAGUUACGUAAGUUCUUUAGAUCGGGAUCCUUAAACUUGAAGGCGUAAAUGUUUCUUUUGCUUCAUUCCAUGUUUCUUGAAUUCCUGCAACUCAUGAUACUCAGAUUCCUUGGAAAUAAAAUAGUAUAAAUGUUAUGCUAUGAAUGAUAUUAUGCGUGUCACAUGUAGGUUAAUAUACAGGUCAUGAGAGUGGGUAUUCUUGGUUACUAAACAAAACCCUUUUGGGAGAAUGCUAAAGGUAAGAGGUUCCCAAAGUCAUCAAUCAAUAUUUAAAAAAGUUAUUGUCAUGAUGAAAACUCAUCUGCUAAUAACAUCCCUAAAUAGUGUCUCGUUUGGGUGAGGCCUUCGUAUGGUCCCAAAGAGGAAGACUCCUAGUGGGUCAUACAACUCUCGAGUCCAAGGUUCUCAGAGUCAUAGAUCGAUGUUGGGAAUACCACUGUAAGGUAGUAAUACGCCCAAGGGAUCUCAUCUGAUUAGGGCUUUCGUAUUAACCCAAUAAGUCUGGGACUUUUCAGGUAGAUACUACAUAACCACCAGAUAUAAUGGGUUAAAAGGUCCCUAGAGUCAUUGAUCCAACUUGAGAAUACUAUCGUCAUGACGAAAACUCGUCGGACAAUAACAUUUCAAGAAAAUCUCCUCUAGGCGGGGUCUUCGUUUCUUCCAAACAAGGAAGACUCCUUGUCGGCACCCACUCUGCAACCACCAACUUAAUCUUAUGGUUUUCCUCAGACUCGGGUGGAGAGCCUAUCUCGCAAAGUAUCACCAACCAGAGAACCCCCAAUAAGACAUAGUCAAUAAAUCACAAUAUAAUAAUUAUGACAGAAUAAUAAUAGCAGAAUAAAAAUAAAUAACAGAUAAACAAACAAGAUUAACACACAAUACAGAAACUGAACUAAAUUAGGCUUCACUCUCUUUUGCUUGGAGCUAGUCCCCAGCAGAGUCGCCACCGAACUUUAUUUAUUCCAAUGAAGGAAUAGGAAAAUAUCGAUAAAACCUUUAGGAAAUGGAAUAAUGGUCGUCGCAACCAUAUUCGGGUUCGGGAGUGGAUUACGCAAGAGGAAGGUAUUAGCACCCCUUACGUCCGUUGUACUCAGCGGGAACCUUUUAGUUUUAAUUUGCUUUUCGAGUGUUAAUUUAUGUUUGUUUAUUAUCUUUGGGUUAUAAAAUUAUUAGAAAUUGAAAGGGAUGAGAACCUCAGAAAGGGAAAGGGGAGGUCUUUUAUUAGUGUGCUCGCGAAGAUACAACAAUCUCCUACCUGCGUAUCCUUAUGGCAUAAUAAGGAAAUCAGAGCAUUCGUAGUUCGGGAGACUAUGGUUGGUUGGUGUCUUUUAGUGAACAACUAUUUAGAUUGCGUUCUAAAGGCUAAACAUUGACUUGUCUACUCUCGGCAGAGGCUUAAACGCUAGUUUGUUGUGCGCAUUAGAAAGGAUUAACAGCAUUCUUUCUGAAAGAGUUUUGGGUCACACAGGGAUGGAAAGUUGGAUUAAUAUGUUGGAUGUUUUGAUUGGUUGAGAUAUUUUGGUUAGAUGACGAUCACUCGGAUAGUCGAGUAAGACAACUCGUAUCCUAACAGUCGGGAAAGGGAGUAGAAGACUCUAGACCAUUUUCUUUUUCAUCUUUAAUUAUAAGAAAGAUCUGAUAAUAGUUAAGGUGUUUUGGAAGGAUGACGAAUACUCGGAUAAUCGAGUAAGACAACUCGUACCCUAAUAAUCGAGAAAGGGAAUAGAAGACUGUAGACCGCUUUCUGUGUCAUCUGAAUAUUUAUGAAGAUAAGGCUAUAUAAGGUUGACGUAUUUUAGCAUGAACGACAAAUACUUGAAUGGCUGAGUAAGACGACUCAUAUCCAAGCAUUUGAGGAGAGGAACUGAAAACUCAAGACCAUCUCCCUUUUCGUAUAACUGUUAAGAAAAUGAUUUGAUUAAGUUGUAUGUUUGCAGAAAAAUGACAAUUGUUUGAUUGACCGAGUAAGAAAACUCGCAUUCGACCAAUUGAGGAGUGAAGUUGAAAACUCAAAGUCGACUCCUUUUUCACUUAUCUUACUGUGAAAAUAUUUUGAUUUAAUCAGGGUUUGGAGAUUUGUAGAGGAAUGACAAUUAUUUGACUAACCAAGUAAGAGAACUCGUAUUCAAAUAAUCGAGGAGAGAAAUUGAAGACUCAAAGUCAUCUCCCUUUUUGUUUCGCUUAUUAUGAAAGUGUUUCGAUUUGAUUGUGCUUAGGUGGAUAGAAAUGACAACUAUUUGACUAACCGAGUAAGAGAACUCGUAUUCAAAUAAUCGAGAAGAGGAGUUGAAGACUCAAAACCAUCCCCCUUUUCAUUUCUAAAUGAAGUGAUAAACGUAAUUAGGCGUUUUAACUAAUUUUGAAUAAAAAUACUCGACAUUGAAUCGGGGUUUUAAGUUUGUAUUUAUGAGUGAAUUGGAUUAUUACUAGUGUACCAAUCAUCUAUCCGAUUAAUUACCAACUGAGAAGGUCUCAUUGUAAGAAAGCCCAAGAGUAAGCUAUGUGAGAUUGAUGGCGAUGCUAAAAGCGAUCGACUUACAAAGGUAUUUGAAACCGGGACCGGAUAUUGGAUUGAGAAUCAUGUGAUUUUUAAAUGGCUUAAUAUAACACUUUAGGGUGAUAAAAGGAUGAAAGUCAUUGUGAAAAUAUAACUUAAAACAUGAUUUAUAUGAACCUAAAAAUUGCAUAAAUGAGUCUUAAUCAAGCACAUACAAAAUGAUAGCUCAAACAAAUUCUACAAAUUAAAUCAAUUAUUAAUCUUAAAUUAAUGAGUAAAGUAUUAAAAUAAUAGUUAAGUAAAUAAAAUGAAAAGAUAUUAUUAUUUCAUAGCAAUAAUACUGUAUAUAUGUUUUACAUGUAUAUAUAAAGAAAUAGGUAAACAAUAAAUAGUAAAGUAAAAAUGGGCUUGAUUAUAUAAAUACUAAUUGAUUAAGAUUAUAUAUGUUUUACAUGUAUAUAUAAAGAAAUAGGUAAACAAUAAAUAGUAAAGUAAAAAUGGGCUUGAUUAUAUAAAUACUAAUUGAUUAAGAUAAUUAAUUAAAAUUUAAUUGAACAAACUACUAACUACGAUUACUAGAUUAUUAUAUUUUACUAAUCAUAUGAUAUUAGAACGACUAAGUAUAGUUUAUAAAUAUGAUAAAUUUCAUGAAACCAAGAACUACAGAUUAAGCUCUGUAGCAAUGUUUUAUCUUUGGAAGAAUAUUAUAAUCACUUUACAAAACUAGAGAAAAGAUGUAUAGUGUCCCUGUUUUUAACUUUAGCUAUCAUCAUUAGUCACUGAUAUUUAUUAAGGCCACGAGAUGUUACUUUCUCAAGAAAUGAGUUGGAAAUAAAACCAAGCUCCAUAAAAAGAAAGUGACCGCUUUAAAGAAGUUGGAUCAAUGUAAACUAUCAGACACUUUAUUUUAUUUUAUUAUCACUACUGUCCCAUAAUUAAAAGAAAAGGUCAUGAUAAUUUUCAGAGUUUACUAGUACCUAGAGCCAUUAAUCAAGGUGAGGCAACAUUACGCAUGAAGGGCCGCCAACGGGAUUUAUACUCUUGAAACUAACAUAAGCAUGCACAGUAACCAACAGACAAAAGAAUUAAAGUAGCCAUAGAUUUUAAACGCACAUGGAAUCAAAACUGAAAGGAUAAAGAUGCAUUACAUUACCCAAUGACACACUUGUCAUUCCCUCUUCCCAACACACAGCAUCACAACUUAGAAAUAAAUAACUAAUAAAAAUGAAAGCAAUGUGAGCAAAUACCAUUCCUACAUGAGCAACAAAUCGUCUCUCUCUCUAACUCAGAGCAACAAUGUGCUCUGCAACUUCCGACCCAACCCACAGCCAAAUCCCACCGGAGAAAACGGUGGCGGCCGGUCAACGGUGGCGGCAGCGCCUUCUUCUUCGGCGAACCUCUACCUCAGAGCUUAAAUUCCAAACACUAACCCUACCUAUUCUAACCUCGCGAUCACAGAUCCGGUCACGAAAACACCAAAAAAAAGGUUAACCUAAAGCCUUGGAUCGGAAAACCCUAACCAUACACAAAAAUCUAAACAGAGUUCUUUUCAAACCAAACCACAUAAAUCUUCUCCUCAAGCCAAAACAAACACAAAAGAAAAUAUACACCAACAUUCAGAGUCAAAACCCUAAGUCUACAAAUGAAGCCACAACGACGGAGAUUUUAAGCAAUUGACAUGGGGGUUUUUGUCGGCUUAUCAAGACGAACAAGGUGGUGCAAAUAUUUAAAGCGAAGGAGAAAGAAGAAGUACUUGACCGGAAGUGGGUCGCUGACGACGUCUUCUCCGCGGUCGUUUCCAGAUAAGUUCCUUUCUAAUAAUCCAAUUCCCUUCGUCUUACUCUGUUCUUUUUUAACUUUGAGCGCCUUUAGAUGGUUGUGUUGAUGAAAGAUUAUUUUGAUUUCUUUUUCGUUUCUUGAUUCACUGUCCUCUUCAAUGUCCUUUAUUCUGGGUAUUUAUGUUCUUUUCAUGAUGAAUUUAUUCAGUCUUGAGAUAACUUGUUAGGUUUCUUUUUUCUUAUCCUCAAAUUUCAUGGGAUUGUUGUUUUGUGGUUUCAUUGUUGUUUGAACUAGUUAACGAAACACAUUCUUGGGUGUUCGUGGUAGUCUUUUAGGCAAAACAUUAACCUGAGCAUUUUGUUAAUUAUCCUUCAGUUUUUAAGCGCUUAUUGAAAAAGCUUUUAACUUAGAUUGUCACUUCCUUCGCAGGUCACAAAAUCAAUUGAGGAAAAGGGAGCGGAUGUCUGUUGGUUCUAAGAAGAGGUUGGGAUUUUUAGAGUGCUUUGGCCCAAGAGAUGACUUUGGCCGCUGGCUUUUUUGGAAAUUCCGUCUUGACACUGUUGAACAAUGCAACUACUUUUAAUUUUCAAAAUUAGUCAUUUAAGAUGUACUUUGGACUUUUGGAAUGUAUUGGAUAAUGUAUUAGCCUUUGGAUAAUUAUGUAACUUUGGGAAUUAUUUGUAACAUUUUGGAUUAGAAUUCAUUUCCGUAAUUAAUCCUUUUUAAUCAUUCAAAACUUGCCUUAAUAUUUUAUUUGUGCUAAUAAAAAAUGCUUAAACUUUAUCUCAAUCUGAAAAUGGUUUAGGCCAUAAUGCAAAAAAUGGACUU
Molecule: long non-coding RNA, 11216 nt
Filed under: Lathyrus oleraceus (garden pea)
Lineage: Eukaryota; Viridiplantae; Streptophyta; Magnoliopsida; Fabales; Fabaceae
Description: Pisum sativum (pea) long non-coding RNA (PSAT_LNC021077)
Source: RNAcentral